UACGUAGGGCGCAAGCGUUGUCCGGAAUUAUUGGGCGUAAAGAGCUCGUAGGCGGUUUGUCGCGUCUGCUGUGAAAACUCGAGGCUCAACCUCGGGCUUGCAGUGGGUACGGGCAGACUAGAGUGCGGUAGGGGUGACUGGAAUUCCUGGUGUAGCGGUGAAAUGCGCAGAUAUCAGGAGGAACACCGAUGGCGAAGGCAGGUCUCUGGGCCACUACUGACGCUGAGAAGCGAAAGCAUGGGGAGCGAACAGG
This 253-nucleotide ribosomal RNA is filed under the name uncultured bacterium. Its description in RNAcentral is "partial 16S ribosomal RNA". It matches the Rfam family "Bacterial small subunit ribosomal RNA", at positions 524 to 776 of the family's 1533-position model. The record is from RNAcentral.